CAAAAUAACAGCACCUUCUGUUUCCCCUGAAUCCACAUGAGUGUGGUGCUGUGAAAGAGGUCGCUGGCUGGUGUUGAGGGUGCCUCCGUGCCAGGGAGCACUCAAAGCUACAGACAUUCACCUGCGAAUGGUCAUGGACCUGACCGGCUGUUUUCUCUGCAUUUCUCCCCUGGCUAAAGAUGUGUUGCUGGGUAAAGUGAUUCUCAGACUUGACCUCCUGCUGCCCUGCUCCCACCCUGGAAUGGAGCAGGUGCCAGGUGGACAUGGCUGCAGGUGCUGUGGGAGGUGAGUCGUGCAGCCACAGGGGAAAACGUUUCAGGAUCCAGUGUCCGUCCUUCAAAGUUGCUUCUAACAAGGAAACCGCUGCCUAAUCACCGGCACCUGUCAAAUUGGAAUCUCAGGUAUGAAAAUUUCCCAAGGACCCACCUAAUCCAGGUUCCUUUCCCUAAAGCAAAUAGGGGGGCAAAUAUAGUCAAAGCCUCACACCAUUCCCUUAAGUUUUUUAAACCAAGACUCCUCUAAUCAGCUCAAUAUAAAAAGAAUGAUUUUCAGAAAACUUCCUAUUAAUUCAAAAGUCAGAGCAGGUAGAUCCCCAGUGACUGGCACGAAUUAGCUGUCCGUUAACCAUUAUAGAAAUGCAACUGAAAAUCA
Molecule: long non-coding RNA, 651 nt
Filed under: Homo sapiens (human)
Lineage: Eukaryota; Metazoa; Chordata; Mammalia; Primates; Hominidae
Description: long non-coding RNA NONHSAT167290.1
Source: RNAcentral